CUGAUUUUACACCUCACUCAAGGAAAACAAAAAGGGGGAACUCCUAAAGACAUAAACCCAAAACAAAAAACCCUUUAGCACAAAAUCUUGUAAACUUCUAUCUCUAGACCUUCAAAACAAGCAACUCCAGUUAGCCCUACAAAAGGAUAUCCAAUUCUUUAACACCUCAACUUCAUAUAGCUAUAGAAGUAUGCAAAAUUCAUGAUUCAAAUUCUACACCAAAGUUUCACCUAAUGUAACACCCUUGCUUGCCAAUAUGCUCCUAGCCACCAAUCCCGCUGUUUGACUGUCUUUUACCAACACCAUAACUGCCAACAUAACUAGCAGAAUUUUUAGGUGGCAUGUCUGAGGGUGCAUUGCCGAGUCCAUAACCAAUUGAACCAGAUCCAUCUCGCUCAGAAUUUGCCGAGCGCCAAGUGGAAUCACUAUAUCCCAAACCACCACUGUAAAAAUCAGCUAAAGGACCAUCAUAGCUACCAUUAGAUGCAGGAUAUGAUGAGGUAGGAGCCCCACUUGAUGUAACAUUUCUUCCAUAGCCUCCAGUCAACCCAUAUAAACUAUCAUCACCCCCAUAACCAAGAUUUCCACUUUGGUUAGAAACAUUUCCUCUACCUUGAGGGGAAAUUGAAGAUGAACCCCAAACUCCAGUGUUGCUAAAGUUUCCUGCCCCUGUGUUCCCAUUUCGAGCUACUGCAAAGGUGCUAGAGCUUGUGGAGUUCGUUCCAUAACCCAAACCCCCACUUCCCCACAAAUUCCGAGUUGCUGAGCUGAAGAAUGAACUACUUCCUCCAUUUACUCCAUCAAACCCAAUAGGACCACCAACUCUGUUUGAACUAUUAACAUAAUAAGGGUUCAGUCCCCGUCCAUAGCUCAAGUUGCUGUUAAAGUUUGCACUUCCCCCAUAUCCUGGGCUUAACCCUGGUUCAAAGUUAAGCCCCAUUCCAUAACCAGAACCAAAUGGAGCAAAACCACUCCUACCUCCAGCAAUGGGGCUAAAUCUACCAUCCAUCCUGACUCCAUAUCCUGCAACUGUAUUCGGAGAGUAUCCUUGUGUGUAUCCAUUAAGGAAGUUAUUGAUCCUACUUAAUGGAUGGUUGAACCCGCCAAGUCUUGGACCUGGUGAUAACUCUUUGGGGACUGCACGUUUGACCUCGACCAUUUUACCAUUCAGUUCAUGGAAGGGCUUAAGCAAUACUUUAUCCACUGCAUCCUCUGAAUCAUAAGUUAUGAACCCAAAGCCUCUUGGUCUCUGAGUGUUAUGGUCGUACAUAACUACUACAUCUGUGAUUGUUCCAAAUUGCUCAAAGUACUCCUUAAAGUCAGUCUCAGUUACUGUGGAUGCUAAACCUCCAACAAAUAUUUUUCUUGUACGUCCUGGACCAGGAGAACCCUGAAUGCUAGGACUGCUUCUACUUAUUGUGCUCUGGUCAUCCCUAGGAACAGCCUUCUUU
RNAcentral lists this unclassified non-coding RNA (1451 nucleotides) under Hevea brasiliensis (rubber tree). The record is from RNAcentral. Lineage: Eukaryota; Viridiplantae; Streptophyta; Magnoliopsida; Malpighiales; Euphorbiaceae.